RNAcentral lists this long non-coding RNA (1033 nucleotides) under Ananas comosus (pineapple). RNAcentral describes it as "long non-coding RNA (ACOM_LNC043610)". Lineage: Eukaryota; Viridiplantae; Streptophyta; Magnoliopsida; Poales; Bromeliaceae. The record is from RNAcentral.
ACUCAUCAUCAUACAAUUUUGGAUGCCACUCGUUCGUUCUUUGACAUUAACACUACUUUCUAUGUCAUCACUACCCCUAUCGGGUUCACCUCUUUCUUUAGCAUCAUGGGAUCCACGUUCCGACCCAAUCCUCACCUAUCUAAGUCACCAAGCGUUCCAAGUACACUAGGUUAUCAAUUAGAAAGCAUAAGGAAAGGUAUUAUCAUGCAAUCCUACAAUGCAACAUGAAGAGAUGAGAUUAAAUGCAAUCUAAGACAUAGAAAGGAGUUCGAAAGUUUCGGAUGACACCCCCCACCUUUUAUCAACAUGGAGGCUCUAGAAACGCUCCUCGGCGAGCUCUACGAAAAGGCCUUCCUUAGCCCAAGAUAGUGCCAAAACGACCGUAUUUCGCCGAUAGCUCCAAAUCCGCUCGACGAAUCGCGAAAUCGACUUCGCCCCCGCGUUUGGGCACCUAUCAAUUAGGUUUACAAGGCCUCAAAUGAGAUCAAUCUCAUACUUUACAAAAUGCCCCCAUUUGGAGCCCUAGAUUGCACAUAUAGCAAACCACUAAUUAAACCCUAGAUUCAUGGGAUUGAUCUACUUAGAAGCUUGCCUAGGGUCCAUUUGACCCAUUCCAAAGCAUAAAAAUCCAAAAACCCUAAGUUCACAAAGCUAGUGUCACGCCCCGGGUCCGAUGCCAAUUUGGCCUGACCCGAGCACGUCAAACAGACGCCGAACGGACAGAGUUUCCCCUAUCCGCCCAAGGCUCAUCACAUGUACAUUUUCAAACAAGAAAUGCACUAGCGGAAACAUACACAAACGGCUUACACGAGGAUAAGCAAUAGCCAUUAGUGAAAGAAAAAGAAAACUAAACAUUCACAAGUAAUAUGAUUCAUUUUAGAUCAUAUACAUUGCAUCCAUCUCUUACAUUUAGGAUUCUUUGCAUUUCAUUACAUAAUUUCAUCAUUUCUUUCUUACAUCACAUUUACCUCAAAAUAAGCUUUACAUUCUUUUCUUUACAUCGCUAGUCAUCAAAUACGAAAGAUAAACAUAG